GAAACUCACCAGGUCCAGACACAGUAAGAAUUGACAGAUUGGUAGCUUUUUUUUGAUUUUUUGGUUGGUGGUGCAUGGCCAUUCUUAGUUGUUGGAGUGAUUUUUCUGGUUAAUUCCAAUAACAAACAAGACCUUCUCCUGCCAAAUAGUCCAGCUGGCUAUGGUAGAUUAUCUUUGGUGUGUGGUUUUUGAUUUUUUUAAUAGCCCAAUUUACAUUGGGACCUUUAAGACAGCUUGUCACCGCUUUAAAAAUGAAAUUCUCAUGAUUUUUUUGUUGUCAUCAGAUUUGACUGUUUUAGAACAAUCUGAGAACUUGAAAAAAAAAAUGUCAAAAUUUUGUGAUAUGUUGG
This 350-nucleotide non-coding RNA is filed under the name Puccinia sorghi. RNAcentral's name for it is "Eukaryotic small subunit ribosomal RNA". It matches the Rfam family "Eukaryotic small subunit ribosomal RNA", at positions 1210 to 1414 of the family's 1831-position model. The record is from Rfam by way of RNAcentral. Lineage: Eukaryota; Fungi; Basidiomycota; Pucciniomycetes; Pucciniales; Pucciniaceae.